AUUGAACGCUGGCGGCAGGCCUAACACAUGCAAGUCGAACGAGUGGCGGACGGGUGAGUAAUGUCUGGGAAACUGCCCGAUGGAGGGGGAUAACUACUGGAAACGGUAGCUAAUACCGCAUACCAUCGGAUGUGCCCAGAUGGGAUUAGCUUGUAGGUGAGGUAACGGCUCACCUAGGCGACGAUCCCUAGCUGGUCUGAGAGGAUGACCAGCCACUGUGGAACUUAGACACGGUCCAGACUCGUACGGGGUGGAGCAGUGGGGAAUAUUGCAAAAUGGGCGCAAUCCUGAUGCAGCCAUGCCGCGUGUAUGAAGAAGUCCUUCGGGUUGUAAAGUACUUUCAGCGGGGAGGCGUUACCCGCAGAAGUAGCACCGGCUAACUCCGGGCCAGCAGCCGCGGUAAUAC
RNAcentral lists this ribosomal RNA (406 nucleotides) under uncultured bacterium. RNAcentral's name for it is "partial 16S ribosomal RNA". It matches the Rfam family "Bacterial small subunit ribosomal RNA", at positions 30 to 526 of the family's 1533-position model. The record is from RNAcentral.